This 586-nucleotide ribosomal RNA is filed under the name Trichoderma harzianum. RNAcentral's name for it is "eukaryotic LSU rRNA". The stretch from base 206 to 359 matches the Rfam family "5.8S ribosomal RNA". Lineage: Eukaryota; Fungi; Ascomycota; Sordariomycetes; Hypocreales; Hypocreaceae. The record is from RNAcentral.
UGGCGCGCGGGAGUUGCACUCCCGACCCAAUGUGAACGUUACCAAACUGUUGCCUCGGCGGGAUCUCUGCCCCGGGUGCGUCGCAGCCCCGGACCAAGGCGCCCGCCGGAGGACCAACCAAAACUCUUUUUGUAUACCCCCUCGCGGGUUUUUUAUAAUCUGAGCCUUCUCGGCGCCUCUCGUAGGCGUUUCGAAAAUGAAUCAAAACUUUCAACAACGGAUCUCUUGGUUCUGGCAUCGAUGAAGAACGCAGCGAAAUGCGAUAAGUAAUGUGAAUUGCAGAAUUCAGUGAAUCAUCGAAUCUUUGAACGCACAUUGCGCCCGCCAGUAUUCUGGCGGGCAUGCCUGUCCGAGCGUCAUUUCAACCCUCGAACCCCUCCGGGGGGUCGGCGUUGGGGAUCGGCCCUGCCUCUUGGCGGUGGCCGUCUCCGAAAUACAGUGGCGGUCUCGCCGCAGCCUCUCCUGCGCAGUAGUUUGCACACUCGCAUCGGGAGCGCGGCGCGUCCACAGCCGUUAAACACCCAACUUCUGAAAUGUUGACCUCGGAUCAGGUAGGAAUACCCGCUGAACUUAAGCAUAUCAAAAA